Molecule: ribosomal RNA, 301 nt
Filed under: uncultured bacterium
Lineage: Bacteria
Description: partial 16S ribosomal RNA
Rfam family: Bacterial small subunit ribosomal RNA
Source: RNAcentral
CAGCCGCCGCGGGAAUACGUAGGGUGUGAGCGUUAAUCGGAAUUACUGGGCGUAAAGCGUGCGCAGGCGGUUUUGUAAGACAGGCGUGAAAUCCCCGGGCUCAACCUGGGAAUGUCGCUUGUGACUGCAAAGCUAGAGUGCGGCAGAGGGGGAUGGAAUUCCGCGUGUAGCAGUGAAAUGCGUAGAUAUGCGGAGGAACACCGAUGGCGAAGGCAAUCCCCUGGGCCUGCACUGACGCUCAUGCACGAAAGCGUGGGGAGCAAACAGGAUUAGAUACCCCAGUAGUCCCUGUCUCUUAUAC